Molecule: ribosomal RNA, 506 nt
Filed under: uncultured bacterium
Lineage: Bacteria
Description: partial 16S ribosomal RNA
Rfam family: Bacterial small subunit ribosomal RNA
Source: RNAcentral
AGUGAACGCUGGCGGUAGGCCUAACACAUGCAAGUCGAACGGCAGCACAGGAGAGCUUGCUCUCUGGGUGGCGAGUGGCGGACGGGUGAGGAAUACAUCGGAAUCUACUCUGUCGUGGGGGAUAACGUAGGGAAACUUACGCUAAUACCGCAUACGAGCUACGGGUGAAAGCAGGGGAUUCUCGGACCUUGCGCGAUUGAAUGAGCCGAUGUGGGAUUAGCUAGUUGGGGGGGUAAAGGCCCACCAAGGCGACGAUCCGUAGCUGGUCUGAGAGGAUGAUCAGCCACACUGGAACUGAGACACGGUCCAGACUCCUACGGGAGGCAGCAGUGGGGAAUAUUGGACAAUGGGCGCAAGCCUGAUCCAGCCAUACCGCGUGGGUGAAGAAGGCCUUCGGGUUGUAAAGCCCUUUUGUUGGGAAAGAAAUCCAGCUGGCUAAUACCCGGUUGGGAUGACGGUACCCAAAGAAUAAGCACCGGCUAACUUCGUGCCAGCAGCCGCCGUAA